RNAcentral lists this small nuclear RNA (323 nucleotides) under Oryctolagus cuniculus (rabbit). Its description in RNAcentral is "7SK RNA". It matches the Rfam family "7SK RNA". From Rfam's summary of the family: 7SK was discovered as an abundant small nuclear RNA in the mid-70s but a possible function has only recently been suggested. Lineage: Eukaryota; Metazoa; Chordata; Mammalia; Lagomorpha; Leporidae. The record is from Rfam by way of RNAcentral.
UGAUGUGAGGAUGAUCUGGCUGUGAUAUCUGUCAUCCCAUUGAUCUCCAGGGUUGAUCUGGCUAGCUAGGCGGUGUCCCUUCCUCCCUCAUCACUCCAUGUGCACCCAAGCUGCAUGCUCAGUUGAAGAGGAGACCUUCCUAGCUAGAGGAGGGCCAGUCUUCAGCCAAGGGCAGGUGAGCAUUGCGCUCCACUGCUAGAACCUCCAAACAAGCUCUCAAGGAAAUGGUCAUUAUCUCUGUUUACCCAUCUAGAAAUGGGGAGUUUAAGAGACUUCAGUCUCCAUGACCACAAAGCAAGGACUUAGAGCCUAGGGCUUUUUUU